RNAcentral lists this ribosomal RNA (250 nucleotides) under uncultured bacterium. RNAcentral describes it as "partial 16S ribosomal RNA". It matches the Rfam family "Bacterial small subunit ribosomal RNA", at positions 524 to 772 of the family's 1533-position model. The record is from RNAcentral.
UACGUAGGGGGCGAGCGUUGUCCGGAUUCAUUGGGCGUAAAGCGCUUUAAGGCGGUUCGCUAAGUCGGGUGUGAAACCUCCAGGCUCAACCUGGAGACGCCACUCGAUACUGGCGUGACUAGAGUUCGGUAGGGGACCACGGAAUUCCUGGUGUAGCGGUGAAAUGCGCAGAUAUCAGGAGGAACACCAGUGGCGAAGGCGGUGGUCUGGGCCGAUACUGACGCUGUAGAGCGAAAGCGUGGGGAGCGAA